AAAGAUAAAGAGAAUAACUUCUAUUUUAAAAAAUUAAUUAUUUAUUUACAAACCAAUUACACUAUUUAAAAAGUAGACAAAAAAUAUCCUUUGCAAACGAGAAAGGCUUUCGGUAGUUGUACCGAUAAUUUUCCAAUCGAUGGCUACGCAGCUCCCUGGGAUGUUGCUAAACAGCUCCAGCCUAACACUCGCCGGUGGCUGGUCACUUAAUUGUCGGAAGAGUCAACCGCCGGCAGCUAUCUCCUCUGCGCUUCCUCCUUCUCUCUCUUCAUCCUCAAUUCAGGUAACAUUAAUUUAUUUUUAACUGUGUUACAUUUACGCAGGCACAGUGGCUUAAAAACCUCAAAAUAAUUUUACUUUGAAGCGUCGUAAUUACUUCUUGUUUUAUAUCUCUUUGUAGUGCUGCAAUGGCAGCUUACAGUUACUUAAUGCAUUUUAUAAAAAAAUCGUUUCACUUAUUACCUCUAUGUUUAAGUUAUGGAAUAAUCUAGUUAAAAGUAAAAGCUGCUUAAAUCCUCGAAUAGUAUUAGUGACCAACAAAUUCAGUUGGAGGAAGCACUACUGAGAACUGGAUAAGGUGAGUGUGAAAAUAGUUGUUUUUUGAGAUGGAAUGUGCAAAUAGUUGCUGAAGCUAAUUGAAUCAGGCAGAGGCAGAUCCAGCAAGCUCAAGUUAAUAUGCAAUAAUAAUUGGGUUCAUAAUCAAAUGUUUGGUGAAUUUCUUAAUACAUAUACAGCAACUGGGUUUGCGUGAACCCAUAAGUUACAUGGUAAAUGCGCAAAUAUGUUGUAGGGGAAUGUUAUUGGAUUUCAAUCAAUUGAAGUUGAGGCAAGCCUAUAAUAACAUACCUCUGCUGUAAGGUUGAAUCUGUGUAUCCACCGAGGUCCAGUUAGGUAGGUUCCAUAGGCCGAUUCUUUUGGGCCUAAGAGUGAAGGUAUCAUAAAGAUACUGAGCUGCUGAAUACAGUGUGACUUAAAGGUGAACAAGCAUGAGAUAACUCGAGCCCAAAGACAGAGUUAGCUAAUGUCGGGAAAGAAAUAUAACGGUGAACGAAGGAAAGACAUCAGUAUUUGGGACGCCAUGUCUAUUCUCUAUGCCAGCUUUAAUGAACCAAAUCUCUUGGCUCCUUUUAUUUACUCAAGGAUCAGUCAGCAUUAUGUUCUUUUCUAACUCAUGGGCGCAAGGCAAUUUCCUAUGUGGUUGUUUUGAAGCUGAGCUUAGACUUUGGGAUUAUAGUAAUUUCCCUAAUGGUAUGUUAUUUCUAGAGCGCACUAGAGUGAGACUAGUCAGUUAGGAGUUAGUCUUAAGAUGCUAGUGGUCAUCUACUGAUGCAGGGUUUUAUCUAUUAAGGAGCUCAGCAAGCAGAAACAUCAUCAACAACAGUGAAAUCACAGUUUCUCGGUAGUCCCAGCUACCAAAACUUUCAGAACUAAGCCGACAUGGUUCCUUUAUAGCCAAGGAUAUGUAGGCAACCUCUAAAACAAGCUUCAGUCAAUCUUUCUCAAAAUGCUUCCAAAUGGAGCUUCAAACGGGCAAAAAUUGCUCCUAAUUGCUCACUUUAUCUUUGCUCCAAAACUUUUCAUGUUUUCGAGCAAAGAGGGGCAGUUGUGAGCACCUAGUAUUUGACCUACAUGAAAAUAACUCCUAAAAAAAAACAAGAAUAAUUUUAAUGAAUUCUAGGAGUUUUUCUUUAUUUAGUUGCAUUUCAUACAUUUUUAAUAUUUUAAAAUCAUAGAAAAAUAAUAAAAUAUUAUCAAGUUUUAAUUUCAUGCCAUCUUAGGUUCAAUUUGCAUAUACGAAUUAAUUUCACUAAGCAAAAAUAAAAAGGUCAUUUUUACAUAUUUAGAUUUUCGUCUUUAAAAUUAAUAUUUUUCUUUAAUUUUAAUUUAUUAGUUAUUUUAAUAUUAACAAUAAAUAAAGAAUUUUAAUUUCUAUAAAAAUAGAUUAAUUUAGGAUUUUAAUUAAUUUAAUUAAACUUUAAAACCAAAGAAAAGAAAAGAAAAGAAAAGGAAUACGAAAGGGAAUUGAAAAGACUUGGUCUUAAAUUCAAUUUGGGUCAAUUGAUGUUGAAGCCCAAAUUUUUGCCCCAAAGCCACCCGCCCAACUCCCUAAAUUCGGCUGACCCGCCCAAUAUACCUUUUAAUCUCCACCCUUAAUCCCAUCUAACCCAACAACCAUUAUUAAUUCCCACCACCAUAUAAAAACCUAAUUAUAACACCCGUAAAGCCCUAAACCUAAUUCCCCAUCUCCCAAACGGCAUUUCUUUGUGUUUUUCUUUCUUUUUUAUACCUUUCAUAAAUUCAUAGAGGAAUUCCGUAUAUUUUCACAUCUAGGAUUUACAUAUACAACAUAUACCACUGUCAAGGGGGAGAUUCAUAGAGGAAUUCCGUAUAUUUUCACAUCUAGGAUUUACAUAUACAACAUAUACCACUGUUAAGGGGGAAGUUCUUAUUAUUUAGGUUAGUUAGUUAUUUCCAUUUCAAAAAAAAAGUAAAAAAGAAAAAUUGGGUUGUGCUAUAUAUAUAUAUGAAAGAGUAUACAAUAAUGAUGUAUUUGGCAAAUCAAAUACCAUGGUCUAAUAAUCAAACAUUCUGAUUAGUUGAUAAUAUUAGUAUUAGUUGGAAAUUUUAUGAAAGAUUCCUGUGAAAAGUUUCAUUAACGCGGAAUUUGUGUCGAGUAGACCUUGUUGUUGUGAGAAUUCCAGCCUCACUCUUCCUCCACCUUCUUCCGCGCCAAAACCGCCCAUAUUCACCGGAAAAUUUCCUCUUACCAUCACAUGGUCUCUCCUCUCAUUCCCUUCCACGUGGACUAAUAAAUAACGAAUUGUGUACAAAUCGAAUCGUACUACUUCUCCCUUACGCGCUCAUCUUAUCCGAAAUAAAUUUAAAGACGAGAUUAGGAUGAAUGGGAGGCGUAAGAUUGAGUCUCACUCGAUCUACUCCCUCCACUUGUCUUUUACUCGUUUCAAGAGAUAGAAUUUCAGAUUUUCCAGAAAGGGUAAGAUUUUUCAUGACUUGGAAAAAAGAUAGAAGCUUCUGGAGCUUCUAUAUAUUGAGUGUCGUCUUGCUUUAGGGACAAAUUUGUUUUGGGGGAGGGAAAAAUUCUAGGGCUUGGAGAGUCUUCAGAUUUUGGGUCUAAUUUCUCUUUUUUCUAUUAUUUUUACCAGCAAAAAAUAAGAAAAGAAAAAUUUGUUUCAAUCAUCUUUUUUUUGAUUUUUUUGUUCUUAAGCAUAUAGUGAUUUUGAACUUUGAAUUUAUGCUCGAGUUUGGUUUAAACUAAGCUUGCCGUUUGAAAUAUUUGCUAAUUUGGUUUAAUCUUGAUUCUAGAUUUAAUUGGAAUGGAUUCUACUUUUGCUGCUGACCUGCUGUGAGCUCAUUUAGUAGCUGAUUUCUUUAUCUUUAUUUGGCAAAGGUUCAGUUUCAUUUUCAAGCUUGUGUACACAUUUAUAACUUGUAUUCUAUUUUGAUUUGUAUUGAAAUGUGAUCUGUCUGUUGCAGUUUGUUAAGCCUGUUGCUUGUUGGUUCUUUUUUGAACAUAGCUUGAAUGUUUGGUUUUGACAUAGCAAUUACAUGAAGUUUGGUUGUAGAUGGAAUGUGCUUUAGUAGUGAUGUACGAUUUGAACGUUUUGCAUUUCACCUAUUUCCACAAAAAUUCAAUAUAUGUACUGUUCAUAUUAUCAUAUGUUGCCUAGUUUGAGUAUUCAUUACCGAAGCUUAACAACAACAACAACAACAACUACCCAGUAUACUCCCACCAGGUGGGGUCUGGGGAGGGNNN
RNAcentral lists this long non-coding RNA (3775 nucleotides) under Nicotiana benthamiana. RNAcentral's name for it is "long non-coding RNA (NBEN_LNC009901)". The record is from RNAcentral. Lineage: Eukaryota; Viridiplantae; Streptophyta; Magnoliopsida; Solanales; Solanaceae.